This is a long non-coding RNA of Scomber scombrus (Atlantic mackerel), 221 nucleotides long. RefSeq lists it as uncharacterized. Lineage: Eukaryota; Metazoa; Chordata; Actinopteri; Scombriformes; Scombridae. The transcript has 2 exons. The record is from RefSeq and is a predicted model, not a curated record.
GAGCAUCCUGCAUCACAACAAGAGCAGUUCCCUCAACCAACACCAACCCACACUCAGAAGAGGAUGCUUUCUAUUCUGUCAUUGAAUAGGUCACUGAGAGCAAAGAGACCUGACAGAAGCAGGGAGGAAAGAUUACUACUGUCAUAAAACCAUUGUCAGGACCGAAGCAUUCAUUUACUGUAUUUCUGUAGCUUUUCAAUAAACUUCUACCUUUCACUCUC